UGACUCUUGCUUCAAGGCCUAGGUGACAGUACAUACUGUGCAUCUCCCCCAGACCCCCUCUUUACCUGUCCCCAUCUCUUUUAGUCAGUGUUUUCUCCACUGUGACUAAUUUUCUGACCAGAACAAUUGUAGGGGAGGAAAAGUCUAUUUGAAAGCUCAUGGUUUCGGUGGUCUUAGUCUAUAGAAGGCUGGCCCCAUUUCUUGGGGUUCAAGGUGAGGCUGAAUGUCAUGGUGGGAGAGCGUGUUGAAAGGAAGCAACCCAUAUCAUGAUCAGAAAGAAGAGAAACUCCACUCGGCAGACACAAAUCUAUACACCCCGUGGCUAUGCCCCCAGUGAACCACUUCCUCCAGCCACACACCCCCUGCCUCCAGUUACCAUCAGAGAUUAAUUCACUGAUUUUGUUAAAGCUAUACCCCAGUCACUUCUCCUCCAAACCUUCUUACACUUUCUCACACGUGAGAUUUUGGGGGAUACCACACCUAAACCAUAACACCAUCCAUGUUGUGGGAAGCAAAGAGUCCCUAAGAGGUGGUAAAAAUAUUAGAAAGAGCCCAGGUAAUAGAGUCACAGAUUAGAGAAUUACCACCAGAAGCCUGCCCAGCAAGCAUUAGAUUGUGUGUGAUGGAGAACAAAAAAAUCUCAAUUGGGUUGUCACAAUGGCUGGUACAGUCAGCUGUCUGUGGUCUCAGGUUCCACAUCCAUAGAUUCAACCAACCUCAGAUUAAAAUAUUCAGAAAACGAUGUUAUGCUCUUGCUGAUGGUUACAGUGGCCGUGUUUAUGCUGAACAUAAAUAGGUCAUUUUCUUGUCAUCAUGUUCUAAAUAAUACAGUACAACAAGUAUUUCUAUAUCAUGGACAUUGUAUUAUAAGUCAUCUAGAGAUAAUUGAAAGGCUAUGAGGGUGUACUCAGGGCAUAUGGAAAUACUAUGUGGUUGGAUGGAAGACUUGGAUUUUGGUGCUCACCAGGGAUUCUAGAACUAGUCCCUCUUGGAUACUGAGGGACAACUGUUUAUUACCCUGACCAAUCCAAACUACUUUAAAAUUUUGAUUUGUUUAUUUAUUCAUCAUACUAUGAUGGGGAGGGCAUUACUAUAAUAUAAGGAAGUGUCUACAGAGGACAUCAUUAGGGAAUUUAUUUAUUUUAAUGCAAUUCUCUUUGUUCAUAGUGAAUCAUGAUUAGGGUUGCAGCCCAUGAUGUAGUUUGUAAUGCUAUACCAUCAAAAGUUCAGGCCCACAGCUUUUCUUCCCAAUAAGUGUAUUCCCACAUGGAUUGCACAGUCCCUAGCUUCUAUCACGCAUUAAUACACAAACUAAUCUGCCGUCACAAAGAGACACCCCCAAAACAAAUCAAUGAUUAUUCAAACUCAAACAGAACAGGCGUUUGUCUUCCUCUCAUUUAACAACCCGAGUGAGGUUGACCAGGGAACCAGGUUCUUUCUAUGUUGCGACUUUACCACCCCCAGCCCAAGGCCAGCUCACUAGUGGCAUGUUUGGGAGUUCCAGUGUGUGCCCUGGCGUGCAAAUAAUCUCAUGCCUGUGUGACAGGACCCAGAGCUGCAUGUAGAGCUUCUUUCACAUCCAAUUGGCCGAAGCAUAAUCACAUGUCCACUCCUGGCUGGGAAGCGUCGUCUCUGCAGCCAGGUGACCGUGUGUCAGACAGAACUUGGGAGUCGUGUCACAGUGGAAGAGAAGGAGCAUGGAUGUUAGGACAGGUUGGGUGCUUUUCAUCUGAUGAUUCACAGUGGGUUUCUUGCUUUUGAGCAUCUUCAGUAUCAGAGGAGAUCAGUACUGUCUGCUACGGUACCUUUUCUUGCAAAUGAGGACCAUUGGACCAUCUCAGGAUUCCCAGAAGAGGGACGGCUCCAGCGGCACACCCUUCGACUCCGGAGAAGGCAACCCCAGGCUGACGUCAGUUCUCUUCCAGUUUCAUCCAAAUCCACUUUUCUUUUGCGGUGCCUUGGCCUCACGGGGGCAUUUGAUGCACCUGAAUCAGGGGUCUGGGACAUAAAGAGAAUCACGCUAUCCAGCAAGUCUCUCUUGUUCUAUGCUCUUUCGUUAUAGGUAGAAAAAUUAAUUUUCUAUUAUGAUUAUAUUCUGCUUGUCAUCAAUCUUGCCUCCUACCAUUUUAAUCUGGCAAGACAGUGCACCAGAAGAAAGGAUAUAGAUGUCAUUUUGUCAAGUGACUCUAGAGAGGGUUGGGGUGUUGGGUUAGUUGGCAUGUAUUGAAAAUAUUUUAACAAAUAUGUUUUGUGAUAGAAGGAUCAAGGAUAAUAGCACUAAUUUGACUCCUCCUUUCCAAACAGAAAAAAAAAAAACAUGUUGAAUGCUGCCAGGUACUGGACGCUGGACAAGCCUGGAGGGGCAACACUGAAGAGAUGAGCCCUGCUCUCCUGGUGUUUACUAGGCCUGCAAUUUCAUGUUCAUACACCUUUUAUAUGUGGGGAUUUUUUUGUUUUUUGGGGGGACAGAAACUCAGACUCUAAAAUUUCAAAUGCACCUCCACAAUUGAAAUGGCUCAGUUUAGAAUUCUAAAUCCUCAUUAUUUGGCCCCAAACCACCUUGAGGGGUGACUUUCCUUCUAGUUAGUUUGCAACAGCACUGUGGGCUCUUUCAGGAACUGUUCUGGCUACCGAGAUUCAUGCAGCUUCCCCAUUCCUCUUGGAAUUCCCGUCCUACAUCUUCCCCUGGAAUCUGUCCAUCGUUAAAGCCUGCCCUGGUGGAGUGGAGCUGUGAGUCGCAGGUCCCUGGCAUUCUCCUUCCCCACCAGAUAAAUCACAACUGGACACAGUUGUGUAUCCAGGUGGGAGAUUGUGGAAGAAUGUUGUCCACAAUGGACAGAGAUUUGGAGAAAGCCAGUGACCUUGGAUAGCAGAGCAAAGGGUGAACCUGUUGCCCUAGCACCAAUUACAGGGUAGAGUGGCAGGGAUGGGGGGAGUCCCUCCAGCCCUGAAAUUGGCACCUUGCAGAAAUUCAGUCUAAACAUAAGAGACCUGGAAUCUGCAUUGCAAAUCCCGGGCUUUGGAGAAGUUCUCUGCCCUUCCCAGGGUUUUCACGGUGCCCUAAGAGGGACCAUCUUGAGAAGGUCUUGCCUGAGCUUACUGCUCUGGGAGCCAAAGGCCCCUGCAUUUUCCUGUGUCUGGGUCCCGAUGGCAGUGUAACUGCACUGACUCUGCGGGUAGCUGCUUCAAGGGGCAGCUUGGUCCUGGAGAGCCUCUGACAUACAAUGGCAGAGAAUUCUAUGUGGUGGGAACCAGGUAAGAGAAUGGAGGAUGCUUCCCUUUUAAAACUGGCAGAUCAGGAACCUGGUUGCGGGAUCCCAGGGGAAGAAGCAGCCCUGCACUUUCAAGCAGGAGCUAAGCCUGGGUGCACCAGAGGUGAAGGGAGAAGAUCACUCAGUGCCCGUGGCCAUUCACCCCCAGCACAGAUAGCUGAGACUCCAUAGCCUCUUCCAGGUGUAGCCCAGAAGCUCAGAGUCCUUGGCAAGCUGCAGUGCUCCUGGAAGCACAGGGAACCUGUGCUGGAUGAGUCCCCUCUGUGGGCGAGCUUGGUGACAGGCUGCAGCAUUGUGUCUGCCCUGCUCUUGGAUUGUGCAGCCCAGAUAACCCCAGAGUAGAUCUUUGCUGUCCAGCUCUGAUUUCUGCCCCAGCUCAUCUGGCUGGCAAGGCAGCAGGGAGCUAUGCUAACUGAGGGGUCACAAACCGCUCCAUCGCUCACCCAGGAGCGCCACAAAGGAGAGAAGGAGGUAAGUAAUUCCCAGCCCUUCCUCUGUCUGAGCAGCACAGUCAAAAAGACCUGGAAAAAAAUUCUCUGUCCAGCACAGAUUGCAAUCACCCAAUCCUACCCACCCCAUGGAUUGCUUCAGAGGAGAGGAAAUUUUAAUUUUUUAAAAUUAAUACACUUUUUGUUAUUACUGGGUUUUGUUUGUAUAUAUACUUACAUCUCUCUUGUGUUCUGCUCUUAAUAUAUUUAAUUUUCUUUUUUUUCCUCUUUUUUACAGCUUUCUCCUGCUUUUCCUUUUCUUCUUUCUUUUUAAUUUUUAUUUCUGCUUCUUUUUGUUUUCCUUUUUUCUUCCUUUCUUUUUCUUUGUUGCUGUGACAAAUACCUGAGGAAAAAACUUAAAAGAGGAAACACUGAUUUUGGCUCAUGGCUCUGGGGGUGUCAGUGUGUGGACAGCUGGCUCCGUUGCUUUGGAAUGGGGCCAAGCACAACAUCAUGGUGGAAGAAAGCUGCUCACCUCACAGCAGCCAGGAAGCAGAGAGGGAGAAGAAGGGGACAGAGACAAAUUCAGUAUGCAGAGGCAUGCCAACGUGACCCACCUCCUUCAACUAGGUUUCACCUCCUACAGUUUCCAUCACCUAAUAAUCUAUUUAGCUAUGAAUCCAUUAAUGGGUUAAUCCACCAAAAAGUCAAAACCCUCAUGAUCCAAUCAAUUUCCCAAAUCCCCACCUCUUUAAUAUGGCUGUUUUGAGGGGCCAAGCCCUCAACACAUGUGACUCUGGGAAACACUUCAUAACCAUAAUAUUCUGCCUCUGCCCCCAAAGUCCCAUGUCCAUCUCAUAGUGCAAAAUGCGUUUAGUUUCUUUCCAAAAGUCCUCAUAGCCUCAAUGGUUCUAGCAUUGUUCUAAAGAAAAUCAGGGAAGAACCAAACAAUAUUAAUACAGAAGAUCAUCAAACCUCUAAGAUAAUAAAACUGAAUAUAAAUAGUCUUAAUUCAACAAUUAAAAGACUCAGACUGGAUGAUUAGGCUAAGAAUAUGCUUCCUUCAAGAAACUUACCUCUCCAGCAAGGACAUAUACAGAAUGAAAGUUAAAAGAAAGGAACAUCAUAUUCCGAGUCAAUGGAAUUUGAAAGCAAGCAGGAGUAAGUAUACUCAUAAUCCACAAAACAGAUUUUAAGCCCAAGUCAGAAGACACAAGAAGAUCACUACAGAUUGAUAAAGGGAACAAUUCAUUAAGAAGAUGUUACAAUUAUAAACAAACAUGCCGCAGUCCGGCUGCAGCAAAAUAACCGGGGGGUGACCAACAACUUGUGUACAUUGAUACAGCAGGAGUAGGAGCCGUUUAUUGUAGGACAACAGAGGUAUUUAUACAUUCCACACAGCUUAUCUAAUUAACAUAAACUAGAUACAGCAGUCAACCAAUAAGGAAUCUCCACACUUAAUGGCUCGCUGGCGUUACUUCACAAACCACUCCCUCUGGCAAAAUGCCAGGCGCCAUCCAGACUUGUUUACAGACUCUAACACAAACAUGCACAGUUGUUGAAGCACCCAAUUUUAUAUAUUACUACUAGACCUAAAUAGAUAGAUAAGUCCCAAAACAAUAGUAGUGGGUGACUUCAAUACCCGACUCUCACCAAAGGUAGGUUAUCCAGACUAUAGAAGUUAGCAAAGAAGCAUCAAAGUUACAUUAUACUACAGAUCAGAUGGGCUGAAUACAGAACAUUGCAGUCAAAAGCAGCAGAAUACAGAUUCUUUUCAUCAGCACAUGGAAUUUAUUUCUAAAAUAAAUCAUACAUUUGGCCAUAAAGUAAAUAUUAA
Long non-coding RNA from Marmota monax (woodchuck), 5537 nucleotides. RefSeq lists it as uncharacterized. The record is from RefSeq and is a predicted model, not a curated record. The transcript is spliced from 2 exons. NCBI's taxonomy places the organism in Eukaryota, Metazoa, Chordata, Mammalia, Rodentia, Sciuridae.